GACGAACGCUGGCGGCGUGCUUAACACAUGCAAGUCGAACGAAGUGGCGAACGGGUGAGUAACGCGUAAUCAACCUGCCCUUCAGAGGGGGACAACAGAUGGAAACGACAGCUAAUACCGCAUACUGAAGGAGGGGAUUGCGUCUGAUUAGCCAGUUGGAGGGGUAACGGCCCACCAAGGCGAUGAUCAGUAGGCGGUCUGAGGGGAUGAACGGCCAAAAUGGGACUGGGACACGGCCCAGACUCCUACGGGAGGCAGCAGUUGGGAAUCGUCCGAAAUGGACGAAAGUCUGACGGAGCAACGCCGGGUUAGUGAUGACGGGCUUCGGGUUGUAAAGCUCUGUUAAUCGGGACGCGGUACCGGAAUAGAAAGCCACGGCUAACUACGUGCCAGCAGCCGCGGUAAUAC
This 408-nucleotide ribosomal RNA is filed under the name uncultured bacterium. RNAcentral's name for it is "partial 16S ribosomal RNA". It matches the Rfam family "Bacterial small subunit ribosomal RNA", at positions 28 to 526 of the family's 1533-position model. The record is from RNAcentral.